GGGUUUGAUUAUGGCUCAGAUUGAACGCUGGCGGCGUGCUUAACACAUGCAAGUCGAACGAACCUUCGGGUUAGUGGCGGACGGGUGAGUAACGCGUGAGAAUCUGCCCUCAGGAGGGGGAUAACAGCUGGAAACGGCUGCUAAUACCCCAUAUGCCGCGAGGUGAAAUGAAUUUCGCCUGAGGAUGAGCUCGCGUCUGAUUAGCUAGUUGGUGUGGGUAAUGGCUCACCAAGGCAUCGAUCAGUAGCUGGUCUGAGAGGAUGAUCAGCCACACUGGGACUGAGACACGGCCCAGACUCCUACGGGAGGCAGCAGUGGGGAAUCUUAGACAAUGGGCGCAAGCCUGAUCUAGCCAUGCCGCGUGAGUGAUGAAGGCCUUAGGGUCGUAAAGCUCUUUCGCCAGAGAUGAUAAUGACAGUAUCUGGUAAAGAAACCCCGGCUAACUCCGUGC
RNAcentral lists this ribosomal RNA (451 nucleotides) under uncultured bacterium. RNAcentral's name for it is "bacterial SSU rRNA". It matches the Rfam family "Bacterial small subunit ribosomal RNA", at positions 9 to 508 of the family's 1533-position model. The record is from RNAcentral.